GAUGGAGUUUUGAUUACCCAGCUCCAGCCACGCGUGAGUGACGGCGCCUUGUGUUUCAUAUGACUGUAGCAGAUGAAUUGCUUUGCUUGUAGCAGAGAUGUUAUUUACUAUAAAGAACAUAAAUUUGCAUAAUGUUGAAGCUAAAGAACUGUACUCUAUCAUGUGAUGUUAAAAUCUUGAAUGUAAAUGUUUGUUGUAGCAUGAAUCUCGCUGAACGGUGUCGUAGGUAGGUGAGAGGGGAGACGCCUAAGUGUUUGUUGUAGCAUGAAUCUCGCUGAACGGUAUCGUAGGUAGGUGAGAGGGGAGACGCCUAAGUGUUUGUUGUAGCAUGAAUCUCGCUGAACGGUAUCGUAGGUAGGUGAGAGGGGAGACGCCUAAGUGUUUGUUGUAGCAUGAAUCUCGCUGAACGGUAUCGUAGGUAGGUGAGAGGGGAGACGCCUAAGUGUUUGUUGUAGCAUGAAUCUCGCUGAACGGUAUCGUAGGUAGGUGAGAGGGGAGACGCCUAAGUGUUUGUUGUAGCAUGAAUCUCGCUGAACGGUAUCGUAGGUAGGUGAGAGGGGAGACGCCUAAGUGCGUGACGGAAACAAAACAAGCUCGUCAUGGAAACAUCUUCGUCGCAUGCUUUUGUAUUAUUAUCAUAACAAUAAUAAUAAUAAUAAUAAUAAUAAUAAUA
Molecule: long non-coding RNA, 673 nt
Organism: Eriocheir sinensis (Chinese mitten crab)
Lineage: Eukaryota; Metazoa; Arthropoda; Malacostraca; Decapoda; Varunidae
Exons: 4
Source: RefSeq, a predicted model, not a curated record